UAACGCCAAUGACCGUUCCCC
RNAcentral lists this non-coding RNA (21 nucleotides) under Caenorhabditis elegans. The record is from RNAcentral. Lineage: Eukaryota; Metazoa; Nematoda; Chromadorea; Rhabditida; Rhabditidae.